This 774-nucleotide ribosomal RNA is filed under the name uncultured Neocallimastigales. Its description in RNAcentral is "partial large subunit ribosomal RNA". It matches the Rfam family "Eukaryotic large subunit ribosomal RNA", at positions 23 to 616 of the family's 3401-position model. Lineage: Eukaryota; Fungi; Neocallimastigomycota; Neocallimastigomycetes; Neocallimastigales. The record is from RNAcentral.
AGAGAGAGACAUGCGCGCAUAUCAAUAAGCGGAGGAAAAGAAACUAACAAGGAUUCCCCUAGUAACGGCGAGUGAAGCGGGAAGAGCUCAAAUUUGAAAUCUUAAAGGGUUUCCCUUUACGAAUUGUAGUUUAAAGAAGUGUUUUCUGUUGAGGUUUUGGUAAAAGUUCUUUGGAAUAGGACAUCAUAGAGGGUGAGAAUCCCGUAUUUGACCUUUACUUUCAACUUUGUGAUACACUUUCAAAGAGUCGGAUUGUUUGGGAAUGCAGUCCAAAAUGGGUGGUAAAUUUCAUCUAAAGCUAAAUAUUGGCGAGAGACCGAUAGCGAACAAGUACCGUGAGGGAAAGAUGAAAAGAACUUUGAAAAGAGAGUUAAACAGUACGUGAAAUUGUCAAAAGGGAAGCGUUUGACACCAGUGUUGUUUUUCUGAAAAUCAAUUAAAGAACUGUUUAUGCUAAGUUGUUUAGACUUUAUCAGCUAACUGUUUAGUUUUGAGCCUUUCUUUAAUGCACUUUUCAGUUAACAAGUCAACAUCAAUUUCUUUUGCUGUAAAAAAGCUUGAGGAAGGUGGCUUGAGAUUCGUCUUAAGUGUUUAUAGCCUCUUGCCUAUGCAGUCGGAGAGAUUGAGGUCUGCAGCGUAGAUCCUUCGGGGCUAAAUGCAUUUGUGCUAAGUUAUAGCAUUUUAUAGACAACUUGUUGACUAUGAUUUGUCUUGUAGCUUACUCGCUUAUGUUAUUUUACCUACGCUUAGGAUGUUGAGCGCAUGUCUCUCUCU